Molecule: ribosomal RNA, 252 nt
Filed under: uncultured prokaryote
Description: partial 16S ribosomal RNA
Rfam family: Bacterial small subunit ribosomal RNA
Source: RNAcentral
AUACGGGGGGGGCAAGCGUUGUUCGGAAUUACUGGGCGUAAAGGGCUCGUAGGCGGCCAACUAAGUCGGAUGUGAAAUCCCCAGGCUUAACUUGGGAGCUGCAUCCGAUACUGGAUGGCUUGAAUCCGGGAGAGGGAUGCGGAAUUCCAGGUGUAGCGGUGAAAUGCGUAGAUAUCUGGAGGAACACCGGUGGCGAAGGCGGCAUCCUGGACCGGCAUUGACGCUGAUGAGCGAAAGCCAGGGGAGCAAACG